This 254-nucleotide ribosomal RNA is filed under the name uncultured bacterium. Its description in RNAcentral is "partial 16S ribosomal RNA". It matches the Rfam family "Bacterial small subunit ribosomal RNA", at positions 524 to 776 of the family's 1533-position model. The record is from RNAcentral.
UACGGGGGGAGCAAGCGUUGUUCGGAUUUACUGGGCGUAAAGGGCGCGUAGGCGGCCACCGCAAGUCAGUUGUGAAAUCUCCGAGCUUAACUCAGAAAGGUCAACUGAUACUGCGGGGCUAGAGUGCGGAAGGGGCAACUGGAAUUCUUGGUGUAGCGGUGAAAUGCGUAGAUAUCAAGAGGAACACCUGCGGCGAAGGCGGGUUGCUGGGCCGACACUGACGCUGAGGCGCGAAAGCUAGGGGAGCGAACGGG